AGACGGCUCAGCACUGCUUGUCAGGCGACCUUCCCUAUUAAGUCCGCUUCCCUCCUCUUUUAACAGCUACCUGUUGAGAGUCCUAUUUUUAAUGAACAAUUAUAACCUAAGAGCUGUCAUCUGUCAGGUUGUAAACGUUUGUUAAAAAUAGGAGUCCUAGACAUGUAGUCAUUAGACAGCAAAAAAGCCGGAAACAAUAGAAGAAGCCACAGUGGGAGAUGUUAAUUACAUCUGAAUUCAUUACUGAAGUUCAUCUCAGGAAGAAGGGCUGCGGUCUGUGUCCAGUUCUAACAAGAAGGAGGGCUGGUACCCUUCAUAGAAACAGUUCAUCUAGCCUUCAGGAUGCUUCGUUUCUAGUGAAGAACAGACCUGCCCCACCCCCGAAAUGGAAUUACCUGCCUCAACACCUCUACGAUACUUACUCAUCAAGGUGCUAGAGUGUUAUCAGAAAAAUUGAAAGCAGAGGCCAGCGUGACGGUCGCAGAGGCUCCGUGUGAUAUAUACCAUUUGUGUGGAAUAAAGAAAGUGGGCCUAGGUUCCGACUCAGCCCUGAGAACACACACGCAAGUAACACUAUACAGGUGGGCAUAGCUACAGGUGGAUAAACACAGAACACUGCGUGCAGCAAGGCUCGAAGAACAGUAGUGCAGAUCUGUUCUCUGCUCACUCACUGGAUCAGUGAAGAAAUCAAGGCAGAAAGGCGAGAGCCAGUAAAGGCGGAUGCAGAGCUCUGGAGUGACCGAGACCCACACAGGAUGCAUCAGCAAGGGUGUGGCCCUGCUUACCUAGGGUCCAAUUGACUCAUCCAGACUAUCUUGCUUGCCCCUCUGUGAGCUGAGCCUCGCUGGCUGAGUUCUCACACCUCUCAUGAUUGUCACUGGGUGGAACCUGCUACAUAGCAUCACGGUCAGGCCAGUGCUUCUUUAAUUAGCAUUUCAAGUUCACUGAGGUAUGGCUCAUGGGACUGCUCAUCUCCUCCCCACCACAGCCACAGUUCUGGCAGCCCUGGUCACCAGAAGGUGGCCAGGUGAGAUUACCUUUGCCAUUCUGUGGCCAGCUGCAAACCAGCGACCUGGAGAGAAGUCGCCUAUCCACAAGCAGCCCUGGGGAUCCGUCUCUCCAUGCAAAGCAUUUCAAGGCACAGAGGGAACUGUCAUGGUGAGAAUUCUGCUGAGAAUUCUGCCAUAACUCAGGGUGAAACUUCUUUACAAGGAGCAACUUAGAAGGAUGGGGAGGGCAGUGUUGAUCAACUCCACAGUGUGUGUGUGUGUGUGUGUGUGUGUGUGUGUGUGUGUGUGUGUGUGAGAGAGAGAGACAGAGACAGAGACAGAGAGAGACAGAGACAGAGACAGAGAGAUGAGACAGAGAGAGACAGAGAGACAGGGAGAGAGAGACAGAGACAGAGAGAUGAGACAGACAGAGACAGAGAGACAGAGAGAGAGACAGAGAGAGACAGAGACAGAGAGAUGAGACAGAGAGAGACAGAGACAGAGAGAUGAGACAGAGAGAGAGAGAGAGAGAGAGAGAGAGAGAGAGAGAACACAACGGAAGUUCGCCUCCUGUCCUCAAGCUCGUAAUCAAUGUUGAACGCUGUGCAGGACAUACUGCAGGAAUUCUCAGUGAUUCACGGCUUAACUACUCUCAUGGAAGAACAUGGAUGGAGAGAAGCACUCUGUGUGUUUCGGUCGCUGCCGUGGUAUUUUUAGCACUGGUUUCAGUGUUAUGGUUUUUGAUUACUCAGUAAGACAGGAAAUUAAUUUGACUCAAGAUGAAGCUGUCACACCAAGGUCGAGAGCUUUGUGCCUUCCUUCCUUCCUUCCUGACAUUUUGACAUAAGCCUCUGAGAAAUCAAUAGUAAAGUUGAGCUACAGUGACCA
RNAcentral lists this long non-coding RNA (1877 nucleotides) under Mus musculus (house mouse). Its description in RNAcentral is "predicted gene, 32718". The record is from RNAcentral. Lineage: Eukaryota; Metazoa; Chordata; Mammalia; Rodentia; Muridae.